Armigeres subalbatus is the source of this 1308-nucleotide long non-coding RNA. RefSeq lists it as uncharacterized. The record is from RefSeq and is a predicted model, not a curated record. The transcript is spliced from 4 exons. Lineage: Eukaryota; Metazoa; Arthropoda; Insecta; Diptera; Culicidae.
UGUUCAUCCUGAUCGUCUUGACAGCUAACCAAAAAAAUGGCUCACUUCUGCAGCAUUUUUUCUACGCCAUCAAUCAACAUUACAACAACCGCCAUGUCAGAAAGAUGUCCGAAAAUAUAAAAGCAACUGCAUGUGUCGGUUUUUCAGUCGAUUCGACCAAGACACUCCCCCGAAGUCUUCCAAAGUCGGAAACAACUCCAUAAGUCCUUCAGUUUUGCCUCCCCCAACGAUUAGUGCCCUCUACUAUGCAAAUUGUGUACACGGUUUGAGGAAUGAUGCUGUUCCUGUGAAAUAACAUUUUCCGGUUUCCUCCGACUUUGGAACGAUCACUGACAUCAGUACGGCCACUGACAGAAGUAGCCAAACGGACGAAUGAUGUGGGAAAGCGACAAGUUUCGGUUAAAACAAUCAAGUUCAGGAAGACAACGAUGAAUUGACUCAUCGUCUGAAACAGCAACUCGUGAACUCGUCAUUGAGAAGAAAGCUCCGGUACAUAAAUAGACUUCUAGCUUCGGACUGCAGAAUUAUAUGGACGAUCUGGAACUGCUUGGCGUAGCUUGACCACCAGCUAAGAACGGCAAAGCUUAGCCAAAACAUCAAAGUAUGCGUACGGCUAGACUAAACGGUGUUACCGAUGGCUCUCACGCUGGAAAACAACUAUUCGGGCAUCUGUAGUAGCCGUUGAGCUUAAUGCGGGAUAGAGUGAUCGGUGCAAUUCUUUAGGUAGAUGCUGAGGAGAUUCAGCCAAUGCUUCAACUUCAGAACCAUACUGGUCAGCACUCAACACACAGUCCCGGUGCCAGUUGCCAGUCAUGCCCUCACUCAUUUUUUAACAGCACAUCGGUUUCAGCAUCUCAUGCAGUUUGGACACCAUUCAGAAAGUUCUGCUUGGAAUAGCUCCUUUUGAUUAUUAUGUAGUGGCGUGUUGAUCAACAGUUCGUGAGCUAAUGCUAAUGUUGGGACCUUUCCUUAGCCAUGCGGUGAGAUGCGCGGCUACAAAACGAGAUCAUGCUGAAGGUGACUGGGUUCAAUUUUUUGUCCCGUCAUAGGAAAUUAACAUUUUUGACUAAGUUUGCAAGGCAGAAGGAAAUCGAAGUUGGGAAAUGUUUUGAAGAAAUUGUUCUUGUACGACUUCAUGCGACAACUUUCCGAGCAGCAUACUAAAUUUGUUCUACGUAGGCCGAUUUGAACGACACCUUUUCAUAGUUUAUCAGCAAGAAACUGAGCUUGGAUGUUUCAUGCUUACGACACAUCUGUUGCUUGCGCUCGCAGUUUAUGGUAAUAUCGAAGCAGCAACCAAAAAACGUC